This 253-nucleotide ribosomal RNA is filed under the name uncultured bacterium. RNAcentral's name for it is "partial 16S ribosomal RNA". It matches the Rfam family "Bacterial small subunit ribosomal RNA", at positions 524 to 776 of the family's 1533-position model. The record is from RNAcentral.
CACGUAGGAGGCGAGCGUUGUCCGGAAUCAUUGGGCGUAAAGAGCGCGCAGGCGGCUUGGCAAGUCGGGUGUGAAAUCCCGGGGCUCAACCCCGUGACUGCAUCCGAUACUGUCAGGCUAGAGGUAGGUAGGGGAGAUCGGAAUUCCUGGUGUAGCGGUGAAAUGCGCAGAUAUCAGGAGGAACACCGGUGGCGAAGGCGGAUCUCUGGGCCUUACCUGACGCCCAGGCGCGAAAGCUAGGGGAGCGAACAGG